AUUGAACGCUGGCGGCAGGCCUAACACAUGCAAGUCGAGCGGAUGAAGGGAGCUUGCUCCUGGAUUCAGCGGCGGACGGGUGAGUAAUGCCUAGGAAUCUGCCUGGUAGUGGGGGAUAACGUCCGGAAACGGGCGCUAAUACCGCAUACGUCCUGAGGGAGAAAGUGGGGGAGCUUCGGACCUCACGCUAUCAGAUGAGCCUAGGUCGGAUUAGCUAGUUGGUGGGGUAAAGGCCUACCAAGGCGACGAUCCGUAACUGGUCUGAGAGGAUGAUCAGUCACCCUGGAACUGAGACACGGUCCAGACACCUACGGGAGGCAGCAGUGGGGAAUAUUGGACAAUGGGCGAAAGCCUGAUCCAGCCAUGCCGCGUGUGUGAAGAAGGUCUUCGGAUUGUAAAGCACUUUAAGUUGGGGGGAAGGACAGUAAGUUAAUACCUUGCUGUUUUGACGUUACCAACAGAAUAAGCACCGGCUAACUUCGUG
RNAcentral lists this ribosomal RNA (484 nucleotides) under uncultured bacterium. Its description in RNAcentral is "partial 16S ribosomal RNA". It matches the Rfam family "Bacterial small subunit ribosomal RNA", at positions 30 to 507 of the family's 1533-position model. The record is from RNAcentral.